RNAcentral lists this ribosomal RNA (253 nucleotides) under uncultured Alphaproteobacteria bacterium. RNAcentral's name for it is "partial 16S ribosomal RNA". It matches the Rfam family "Bacterial small subunit ribosomal RNA", at positions 524 to 776 of the family's 1533-position model. The record is from RNAcentral. Lineage: Bacteria; Pseudomonadati; Pseudomonadota; Alphaproteobacteria.
GACGGAGGGUGCUAGCGUUGUUCGGAAUCACUGGGCGUAAAGGGCGCGUAGGCGGCACAUGGUGUCGGAUGUGAAAGCCCGGGGCUCAACCCCGGAGGUGCAUCCGAAACUCAUGGGCUGGAGGUCGGAAGAGGAGGGUGGAAUACCCAGUGUAGAGGUGAAAUUCGUAGAUAUUGGGUGGAACACCGGUGGCGAAAGCGGCUCUCUGGUCCGAACCUGACGCUGAGGCGCGAAAGCGUGGGGAGCAAACAGG